This 446-nucleotide ribosomal RNA is filed under the name uncultured bacterium. Its description in RNAcentral is "partial 16S ribosomal RNA". It matches the Rfam family "Bacterial small subunit ribosomal RNA", at positions 338 to 795 of the family's 1533-position model. The record is from RNAcentral.
CCUACGGGUGGCAGCAGUCGAGAACCAUUCACAAUGGGGGAAACCCUGAUGGUGCGACGCCGCGUGGGGGAAUGAAGGUCUUCGGAUUGUAAACCCCUGUCAUGUGGGAGCAAAUUAAAAAGAUAGUACCACAAGAGGAAGAGACGGCUAACUCUGUGCCAGCAGCCGCGGUAAUACAGAGGUCUCAAGCGUUGUUCGGAAUCACUGGGCGUAAAGCGUGCGUAGGCUGUUUCGUAAGUCGUGUGUGAAAGGCGCGGGCUCAACCCGCGGACGGCACAUGAUACUGCGAGACUAGAGUAAGGGAGGGGGAACCGGAAUUCUCGGUGUAGCAGUGAAAUGCGUAGAGAGCGAGAGGAACACUCGUGGCGAAGGCGGGUUCCUGGACAUUAACUGACGCUGAGGCACGAAGGCCAGGGGAGCGAAAGGGAUUAGAUACCCGAGUAGUC